AACGAACGCUGGCGGCAGGCUUAACACAUGCAAGUCGAACGCAUCCUUCGGGGUGAGUGGCAGACGGGUGAGUAACGCGUGGGAACGUGCCCUUCAGUUCGGGAUAACCCAGGGAAACUUGGGCUAAUACCGGAUACGUGCGAGAGCAGAAAGAUUUAUCGCUGAAGGAUCGGCCCGCGUCUGAUUAGCUAGUUGGUGGGGUAAUGGCCCACCAAGGCGACGAUCAGUAGCUGGUCUGAGAGGAUGAUCAGCCACAUUGGGACUGCGACACGGCCCAACCGCCUACGGGAGGCAGCAGUGGGGAAUAUUGGACAAUGGGCGCAAGCCUGGUCCAGCCAUGCCGCGUGAGUGAUGAAGGCCUUAGGGUUGUAAAGCUCUUUCGUCCGGGACGAUAAUGACGGUACCGGAAGAAGAAGCCCCGGCUAACUUCGUGCCAGCAGCCGCCGUAA
RNAcentral lists this ribosomal RNA (449 nucleotides) under uncultured bacterium. RNAcentral's name for it is "partial 16S ribosomal RNA". It matches the Rfam family "Bacterial small subunit ribosomal RNA", at positions 29 to 523 of the family's 1533-position model. The record is from RNAcentral.